This 304-nucleotide long non-coding RNA is filed under the name Homo sapiens (human). RNAcentral's name for it is "non-protein coding lnc-GABRB3-2:1". Lineage: Eukaryota; Metazoa; Chordata; Mammalia; Primates; Hominidae. The record is from RNAcentral.
AUGGUCCCUACUUGCACCUAUCAAACUGGCCAUGCCCAUGCCCAUUCUGGGCCCAUAUGGAAGCUCUCUUUGCACCUUUUGGUUGACCUCUGAGGAGCAGCUUGGAUACCUUCUUCCCCUUAACACUGUAGAGGCUCUCUGCAACAGAACUCCCUACAUCUCACAGCACCAGCCUCCGUUCUCCUACCAAGUGUGAUUUGUGUGUCUAGCCUUCUCUAGGACUUCUGCCAGAUUGGCCUCUCUUCAGGUACAGCUAGGAGAGCCACAUUCAAAACCAAGAAGAGAAAGGAGUCAUAGAGCCACA